CUGAGGACUUGAGCGUGCACUGAAAGGAUUCUUCGAGGAGCUCCUCUGGGUGCCCGAAACUGGGGAGCUCAAAGCAAGGUCCCUGGAAUGGAUUCAGGCAUUCCUGAGAUUAUCAGAGGUGUACCUGUCCAUCCUGGCCCUGGAGCUCUAGAAUGGACUGUAAUUGGGUUAUAAAAGUGGUGCUCCAACUGCAAAAGAAGUGUGGGAUUGGGAUUAAGGAAUGAGCAGUGAUGGUACCAUUGGCUGUUUUCUCUCGACAGGAAUUGUGAGAGCUGCAGGAGUGCAAGGUGUGGGUUCCAGUCCCCACCAUUUGGUUUGCACAUGUCCUGGUCAGACACAGGUCCAGUUUCCUCAGUCCUUAACUCAGCAGGGGGAGAAUUAAGGGAUGGCCCUGUGAAGGUGAUUGGUGUGACAGGGAUUUUAACUGGGAAAACCUUGGGUAAUUCCUCAGUUUCUCUCUUUGCCAAACUUGCCCAAACCUCUGCUAGGAAGAGACUGAUUGGAAAAGUUGAGGCAGAAAUUAAAUUGGAAAAUAUUGAAAUUGUAAUUCCUGAAACUAAAUGUGUGAGAGCAGCAGCUCUUCUUGUGCACGAA
Molecule: long non-coding RNA, 594 nt
Organism: Empidonax traillii (willow flycatcher)
Lineage: Eukaryota; Metazoa; Chordata; Aves; Passeriformes; Tyrannidae
Exons: 3
Source: RefSeq, a predicted model, not a curated record